CUGCUGCCUUCCGUAGGAGUCUGGUCCGUGUCUCAGUACCAGUGUGGGGGACCUUCCUCUCAGAACCCCUACGCAUCGUCGCCUCGGUGGGCCGUUACCCCGCCGACUAGCUAAUGCGCCGCAUGCCCAUCCCCCGCCGGAAUCGCUUCCUUUGGCCGCAGACCCAUGCAGGUCCGCGGCGUUACGCGGUAUUAGUCGGGAUUUCUCCCGGUUAUCCCCUGCGGGGGCAGGUCGCAUACGUGUUACUCACCCGUGCGCCGGUCGCCGG
RNAcentral lists this ribosomal RNA (268 nucleotides) under uncultured bacterium. RNAcentral's name for it is "partial 16S ribosomal RNA". The record is from RNAcentral.